UCCAUGGUGGCUUAGAUGGUAAAGAAUCUGCCUGUAAUGCAGGAGACCCAUGUUCGAUUCCUGGGUCAGGAA
This 72-nucleotide transfer RNA is filed under the name Bos taurus (domestic cattle). It matches the Rfam family "tRNA". From Rfam's summary of the family: Transfer RNA (tRNA) molecules are approximately 80 nucleotides in length. Lineage: Eukaryota; Metazoa; Chordata; Mammalia; Artiodactyla; Bovidae. The record is from Rfam by way of RNAcentral. RNAcentral also lists the same sequence under 5 other names.